GCAUUCGUAGUGUAACGGUAGCACACUCGGCGUGAAUUCGAGAAGUCCAGGGUUCGAGUCCUGGUGAGGGUA
This 72-nucleotide transfer RNA is filed under the name Stegodyphus mimosarum. It matches the Rfam family "tRNA". From Rfam's summary of the family: Transfer RNA (tRNA) molecules are approximately 80 nucleotides in length. Their secondary structure includes four short double-helical elements and three loops (D, anti-codon, and T loops). Further hydrogen bonds mediate the characteristic L-shaped molecular structure. tRNAs have two regions of fundamental functional importance: the anti-codon, which is responsible for specific mRNA codon recognition, and the 3' end, to which the tRNAs corresponding amino acid is attached (by aminoacyl-tRNA synthetases). tRNAs cope with the degeneracy of the genetic code in two manners: having more than one tRNA (with a specific anti-codon) for a particular amino acid; and 'wobble' base-pairing, i.e. permitting non-standard base-pairing at the 3rd anti-codon position. The record is from Rfam by way of RNAcentral. Lineage: Eukaryota; Metazoa; Arthropoda; Arachnida; Araneae; Eresidae.